Molecule: transfer RNA, 74 nt
Filed under: Vigna angularis (adzuki bean)
Lineage: Eukaryota; Viridiplantae; Streptophyta; Magnoliopsida; Fabales; Fabaceae
Also listed under: 1 other name
Rfam family: tRNA
About the family: Transfer RNA (tRNA) molecules are approximately 80 nucleotides in length. Their secondary structure includes four short double-helical elements and three loops (D, anti-codon, and T loops). Further hydrogen bonds mediate the characteristic L-shaped molecular structure. tRNAs have two regions of fundamental functional importance: the anti-codon, which is responsible for specific mRNA codon recognition, and the 3' end, to which the tRNAs corresponding amino acid is attached (by aminoacyl-tRNA synthetases). tRNAs cope with the degeneracy of the genetic code in two manners: having more than one tRNA (with a specific anti-codon) for a particular amino acid; and 'wobble' base-pairing, i.e. permitting non-standard base-pairing at the 3rd anti-codon position.
Source: Rfam by way of RNAcentral
UAUGUUGUAGUCUUGGUUGGUUAGGAUACUCGGCUCUCACCCGAGAGACCCGGGUUCAAGUCCCGGCAAUGGAA